RNAcentral lists this ribosomal RNA (525 nucleotides) under uncultured bacterium. RNAcentral's name for it is "partial 16S ribosomal RNA". It matches the Rfam family "Bacterial small subunit ribosomal RNA", at positions 355 to 874 of the family's 1533-position model. The record is from RNAcentral.
UGGGGAAUUUUGGACAAUGGGGGCAACCCUGAUCCAGCAAUGCCGCGUGUGUGAAGAAGGCCUUCGGGUUGUAAAGCACUUUUGUCCGGGAAGAAAUCCCCUGCCCUAAUACGGCGGGGGAUGACGGUACCGGAAGAAUAAGCACCGGCUAACUACGUGCCAGCAGCCGCGGUAAUACGUAGGGUGCGAGCGUUAAUCGGAAUUACUGGGCGUAAAGCGUGCGCAGGCGGUGAUGUAAGACCGAUGUGAAAUCCCCGGGCUCAACCUGGGAACUGCAUUGGUGACUGCAUUGCUCGAGUAUGGCAGAGGGGGGUGGAAUUCCACGUGUAGCAGUGAAAUGCGUAGAGAUGUGGAGGAACACCGAUGGCGAAGGCAGCCCCCUGGGCCAAUACUGACGCUCAUGCACGAAAGCGUGGGGAGCAAACAGGAUUAGAUACCCUGGUAGUCCACGCCCUAAACGAUGUCAACUGGUUGUCGGGCCUUCAUUGGCUUGGUAACGUAGCUAACGCGUGAAGUUGACCGCCU